Molecule: long non-coding RNA, 945 nt
Organism: Panicum virgatum (switchgrass)
Lineage: Eukaryota; Viridiplantae; Streptophyta; Magnoliopsida; Poales; Poaceae
Exons: 2
Source: RefSeq, a predicted model, not a curated record
UCCAUCUUAGAUUACGAUUUCAGUGCAUAACUGGAUAUGGCGAGGACAAGAAACUAAAUACGAACAUAUCGACUGAUGAUUUGUUGAUAUCACCAGCUUUGAGGCUCUAGGUCUUAUUGCUACUAUAUUUGUCUUUGCUCCUGUGUGAAGUGUGUUGCAUUGGUGCUAGUGAGCUUUCAUUGUUCUCCAAAACUCAGGUAGCAGCUUUUAUCCAGUUCAAUCUUCCCUCUUGAAAAUUUUUAAUUAUUAGAUAGCAAGUUGUAGACCCUGAAAACUUUUCUUUAACUUCAUUGUAAGGAUUGACUUCAGAGGUAUGUACUGACUGCCUUUCUCAAAUCAAACAACAAUGACAUUAAUUCAAGACCAUUUGUACUGAAGCUUGUAGCUCGUAGGGAGCUAUGUCUGACACCUGCUAGGCUAGAAUCUAAAGUUGGCAACUCGCAAAUACUACAAUCUGGAAGAACAAUAAGUGACUUCAUUCCUCCACACAGGUAAGAACUGCUGCCUGUAACAUUGUAUUUAGUUAUUCAUCACCAUUGCAAGGUAUGCGACAGCAACACGAGGUGAAGCCGAGGGCUCAAUUUCUGGACACUGGCGACAGGAUGCUCAGUGAGGCUGUGCAAGCUAUUUCACCAUUCAAGUUGCUUGAGAGGAUGCUGAUCUAAGACAGAACCAGCUGAUGUUACCAUAGAGCCAGCUGAUAUUAUCAUAGAGCCAGCUGCAGAUCUUGCUGACAAAAGCCAUCGUCCACUAUCCAGAUUAUUCCUGUGUAAUUACACUGUUACAUAGUACCCGUUUUUUAUUUCUUUUUGCUUCCCUUUAUUUGUUGUCUUGGUUCCAGUUUACUUCCUGUAAAACAUAUAAUAACAACAAUGCAUAGUGGCAUGAAACUUUACAUGACAUGGAAAUAGAUGAGACAAUCCCAAGCAUUGCAUAUUUAUCAAA